Molecule: ribosomal RNA, 617 nt
Filed under: uncultured bacterium
Lineage: Bacteria
Description: bacterial SSU rRNA
Rfam family: Bacterial small subunit ribosomal RNA
Source: RNAcentral
CGGAAACAUGUCUAGCUUGCUAGAUGAUGUCGAGUGGCGGACGGGUGAGUAAUACUUAGGAAUAUGCCUUUGUGUGGGGGAUAACUAUUGGAAACGAUAGCUAAUACCGCAUAACGUCUUCGGACCAAAGGGGGCUUCGGCUCCCGCGCAAAGAGUAGCCUAAGCGAGAUUAGCUUGUUGGUGAGGUAAAGGCUCACCAAGGCGACGAUCUCUAGCUGUUCUGAGAGGAAGAUCAGCCACACUGGAACUGAGACACGGUCCAGACUCCUACGGGAGGCAGCAGUGGGGAAUAUUGCACAAUGGGGGAAACCCUGAUGCAGCCAUGCCGCGUGUGUGAAGAAGGCCUUCGGGUUGUAAAGCACUUUCAGUUGUGAGGAAAGGUUAACGGUUAAUACCCGUUAGCUGUGACGUUAGCAACAGAAGAAGGACCGGCUAACUCCGUGCCAGCAGCCGCGGUAAUACGGAGGGUCCGAGCGUUAAUCGGAAUUACUGGGCGUAAAGCGCACGCAGGCGGUUAUAUAAGCUAGAUGUGAAAGCCCCGGGCUCAACCUGGGAAUAGCAUUUAGAACUGUAUGACUAGAGUCUUGGAGAGGGGAGUGGAAUUCCAGGUGUAGCGA